AACAAAACAGAAGCUUUCAGCAUCUUCCACCACUACAAGAAGAUUUCAACAAACAGAAAUUUGCACAGUUUUUGAAGGUAACAAAGAUUCCCAAGUCUUUUUUUUUCCCCAAAGGAAAUGUUAGGUAAGAAUGAUGAGGAAAUGAGAACAUUUGCCAGGAAUUUGAUUGGAUACGAUACAUGAAAAAUAGUUUGAAGAAAGUAGGAAGGAAAGUAAUAAACAAAGAAAAACAAUUUUAUGCUCUCUCUCUCUCUGGGCACGAGCAGGAACAUCAAAAUGAAAGACCGAAGACAUGUACAUGACACAGAACGAAAUAUUCAAAAAUACGUGAGAUGAUUUGAUAGGUUGUCUGCAAAAAGAGUUUACCGACCGCAUAAUAAUUCAUUCUUGUGUGUAGCGUGUGGGACCAUGUCGCCCAAACGAUCAUAGUACGACCGCUCAUCAAAUAUCAAA
Molecule: long non-coding RNA, 453 nt
Organism: Cucurbita moschata (crookneck pumpkin)
Lineage: Eukaryota; Viridiplantae; Streptophyta; Magnoliopsida; Cucurbitales; Cucurbitaceae
Exons: 2
Source: RefSeq, a predicted model, not a curated record